UCGAUGAUCGAUAACCUUUAAAAAAUAUUUCUCACUCAUUCUGGAAUGCGCCUCAUUCCAACUUCUGUUAGAGACAACUUCUGUUAGAGAGAAACCUGAUGUAUAAUCUGCUACCCGCCAUUAUUAACUUUCUUUCCUUCCUGAUCGAUGAAGAAAUCUUCCUGAGUUUCAGAUUUGAAAACCCGCGAUUUCUUUGUUGGUUUAUCUUCCUUAAUCUGUUCGUCUCGCCGAUUUCGUAUUGAAGAUGGAUUUCAGAGAAAUAUCAACGCUGAAGGUGAUCAUUGGCUAGUGAAAUUGUGUUUGUUGCGAUUGGUGAGACCAAAACAAAACAAGUUUCUUCUCCUAAACCAGAAUAUCGGGAGAAGUGGAUAAAUCUUGGAUGUUUGAAUCAGAUAGGUUUGGUAAAGUAUAUAGAGAUGGGGUGAAGUUUUUCAUUCAGUAUGCAUCUACAAAUGGUUUUUGGAAAACAAACUGUGUCUGCCCAUGCGCAAAAUGUGAAAAUAGACAUCCUCGGAGUAUUGGGAUAGUGGAGCAACAUUUGUACGAGAACGGUAUGGUGAGGAGCUGGCGGUUCAUAUUGCAGUGAGCAAUCUAGCAAAGAAGAUGUACUUCCAGAUUUGACUGUUUUUAUUGAAGCUGCAUUUGAAGUUAAAGAUAAUUUAUACUAUAAUCUCGAACUUUCAAGAUUGAUGGUCGUAUUCGGACGACUCGGAAAAAUAUGACAUGAUUCACCAUUUCUUGAAAAGAUGCACAAAAUGUAUUGUCGAGCUUAAAUUUUGACAAGAAGAUGUGAAUUUUUUGUAUCCUUAGAAAUGAUCGUUGCAUAAUUCCAUAUAAUCGGUUGAAUC
This is a long non-coding RNA of Papaver somniferum (opium poppy), 848 nucleotides long. RefSeq lists it as uncharacterized. The transcript is spliced from 3 exons. Lineage: Eukaryota; Viridiplantae; Streptophyta; Magnoliopsida; Ranunculales; Papaveraceae. The record is from RefSeq and is a predicted model, not a curated record.